UUUUGUUUUAUUUUUUUGUCCUUUUUUUUAGGGCUGCACCUGAGGCAUGGGGAAAUUCCCAGGCUAGGGGUCGAAUUGGAGCUGCAGCUGCCGGCCUAUGCCACAGCCCCACCAAUGCAGGAUCUGAGCCGCAUCUGCAACCUAAACCAUAGCUCACGGCAACAUUGGAUCCUUAACCCACCAAGUGAGGCCAGGGAUUGAACCCAAGUCUUCAUGGAUACUAGUUGGGUUCGUUACUGCUAAGCCAUGAUGGGAACUCCCAAUUCAGUUUUUUGUUUGUUUGUUUGUUUGUUUGUUUGUUUGUUUUUUAGUUGUAAGAUGAAAAUGCAUGGUAGGGACUUGGGGAAAUCAUUUUGCAGCCCUCACAUCUUGGACUCAACUCUAAAUCCUAGCAUCUCCCUGGACAUAUCACUUACUGUUUAUUCCCCCAGGCCUCUGGGCUUCGCCCGGGCUUUCACCUCUGAUGAAGAACCACUGUUCACCUACAGCAGUGAUUCUCAAACUUGACAAUGAGCUCAACCCCCCCACCACCACCACUGAGACGUCUUCAGACAGACUGACAGGCCCCUUUGCUGAGGCUGCUGCACCAGUGUGUCUGGGAUGGAGCCUGAGAAAGGAGAUCACUAAGAAGUACCAGGAGGUACCGAUGCAGUGGGUGGGGGUCUUGCCCCCCGCCCCUGCCCUACCGCCCAGUGAAAGCCUCUUCCCUCUAAAUCAAUAUACUUGGGUAAAAUAAAACAAUAAAAACCACCUUCCCUCCGCCUUUCCUUUUCUUCUCAGAUGCUACUUCUCUUUUAAAAUAUAAAACACCAGAGUUCCCUGGUGGUGCAGCAGGCUAAGGAUCCAGUGUUGUUACUGCAGUGGCUCACGUCACUGCUACGGCGUGGGCUCGAUCCAGUCCCUGGCCUGGGAACUUCUGCAUGCCACAGUGAGGCAAAACAAAAUAUAAUAUAUAUUUAAGAUUUAAUAUAUGUAUAUAAGAUUUCCUACCCUCUACACUUCUCUCCCCAAACGUACAAGGAUGGCUUUGCAUGUUCUCCAUACCUGCGUCCUGGUCUUUCUUUAUUUUUGUCUUUUUAGGGCUGCAUCCACAGCACAGGGAGGUUCCCAGGCUCGGGGUCGAAUUGGAGCUGUAGCUGUGUGCCACCGCCACAGCAACCCAGGAUCUGAGCCGUGUCUAUGACCUGCACCCCAGCUCACGGCAAAGCCAGAUCCUUAACCCACUGAGCGAGUCCAGGGAUGGAACCCACGUCCUCAUGGAUCCUAGUCGGGCUCGUGAACUGCUGAGCCGUGAUGGCAACUCCAUGCAUCCCAAUCUUUAGACUGGACUUCUCGGCCCUCAUGAUUAAUUUCCACAUCAGACUCUGCAGAACUGACAUCGUGGUUUGCUCACUAGGACUCUCCUCCCUGUUGUCUGUAUGCUGUAUGGGUCUCUCGGUGGUCAGGGCCUCUCACAGAUGAGGGUCUUGACAGAUCCAUAGUGGAUACACUCUAUCGGUCAGGCCAAGAGAAAACCCUUGUGGUCCAGGCAGAAGUCUGAAUCCCAUGAAAAGAUCCAGUGAUUCCCCCAAAUGUGGAGCUGGAAGUUGGGAGAAUGGUUGGCAGCCUGGGCAUAUCUUUGAAUUUGAUGUACGAAGCAUCAAAUGGCUUCUCUCCGUGGAGUGGGGACCAGAAGAGGCAUUCUGGUCCCAACACUGAGGUCUCAAUUUCAGAUCCAUCUCCGUCCCUCUGCCUCCUCCCCUUCCUCCUUCUUUUCUUCCUCCUCCCCAGUCCCCCUCUUCCUUCCUCUCUUCCUUGUCCUCUUCUUCCUUCUCCUCCUCUCCCUCCUCCUCUCCCUCCUCCCCCAUCCUCCCUCCUUCUCCCCCUCCCUCCUCUCCCUUCUCUCUCUCUGCACAUCUUUCCUCUUGCUCUUAAAAUUCUUAAUCCACCAUCUUCUCCCUUAUCUGCUCCUCCCGUUCCUCUUUCUCCUUCCCCUGAUUCACCUCUGAUCUGAGCCUGGAGGUAAAUCCUUGAGGUCUGCCACCUGUGGAAGGAGACCUAGAGCCCUGGCAGGUGGAGACAACCACGUGGCAGGUGUAUCCAUCAACAUGUUCACCCACAGGCUGGCUGCUCCUCUGUGGGUCUGGGGGUGGGUGUCGGCAGACUGGCUGAAGCCUCCCCAAUAACAAGGUGAGGAAGGACGGACCCUGGAGAGGCUGAUCCGGAGCCCCCCACCCGUCUCUGGCCCUGCCCAUCACAUGCAGCAUUCUCUCUUCACUGAAGAUUUGGUUUUAGGGCUUUUGCCUGGGGACUUGCACGGCAGCUCGCUGCUCCAAGAGGCUAGGGAGGAAGGGCUGCAGGGCUGGGCCAGGGGCUCUGUAGACAGUCUUUUGCCCUAUUUUUUAGUUUUUGCCCUGUUUCUUCUAUGUGCGAGGGCCAGCGUGGUCUCAGGAAGGUCUCUCCUGUCCGCUUCCUUCUAGGUUAGGGUUUCGUCCUGCUCACUUUUGCUGCUGUGCCCGUGUGUUUGCACCCCCCCCCCCACCCCAGUCUUCAGGGUCACCCUGCAUGUUUUCCUCCUUCCCACUGUGUCAAGACUCAUUCUCUUUCUAUCAUUUCUUUUCAUUCGGAGACAUUUUCCCUGGAAAGUGAGGUAAUGGACUGGUGGGGUGGAUUCCGUUCAAUCAGAGUGGGCAUAAGACUGUUUUUCUUUGAGAUAAAUGAGGGGGGCUGGAAUUGCUAAUUCAGUGAGGAUGUGCAUUUUAUGAAGGGGGCCGUGGAUUUUCACAGUGCCAUCCAGGAAGGGGUGCGUGUGCACAACCUCGAGCAGGGGGAGCGAAUUUAGCAACACUCACCCAUCCUGUGGAUUGACACUGACUGAGUCCUCCUGGUUGUCAAGAACAUCUAGUAGAAAAAAUGUGAAUCCCCUCUUCCCGAUGCUGAUGUUUUGGUGAGAGGAACUUAGGGUAAAGAACAAACCCAAUAUGAACUGCCAAGACAUGGAAGCAACCUAAGGGUCCAUCAACAGAGGAAUGGAUAAAGAAGAUGUGGUAUAUCCAAGCAAUGGAAUAUUACUCAGCCAUAAAAAAGAAUAAAAUAAUGCCAUUUGUAGCAACAUGGAUGGAGCCGGUGGGUAUUAUGCUAAGUGAAACAAGUCAGACAGAGAAAGAAAAAUACUGUAUGAUAUUAUGCACAUGUGCAACCUCAAAUCUAUAGCCAACGAGUGAAUAUGACAAAAAAGAAGCAGACUCACAGACAGAGAGAAGAAACUAGAGGUUAUCAGUGGAAGAGGUGGGGAGGGGCAUUAUAGAAGUAGGUGGCAAACUGAGAGAUAACUUGCUAUGUAUAAAAUACAUAAGUUACAAGGAUGUAGGGCACAAUAUGGAAAAUAAAACCAAUAACUCAAUGGAGAGCAAGUGUUACUAAUUGUAUAUAUUAAAAAAAGACAAACAAAAAACAAUACAAAAACCCUCCUGUUAAAUCCAAUAUGUAACUAACUAUGUUAUUACAAAUCCUGAUAAAAGUCAUGAGGUACAAAUCUUGGAUAUUAUAUUUUAAAAGUAAGCAUCUGGGAAGGACCUAUUCACAAAUGUGGACCACUACAUAUUUCAAAUUUUUCAAAAUUUUAUGGCAAAAAUUAUUUAAAAUUCUAAUUUUAGUUUGUCUACCUCU
This 3648-nucleotide long non-coding RNA is filed under the name Sus scrofa (pig). RNAcentral's name for it is "lncRNA (ENSSSCG00065064173.1)". The record is from RNAcentral. Lineage: Eukaryota; Metazoa; Chordata; Mammalia; Artiodactyla; Suidae.